Onychomys torridus (southern grasshopper mouse) is the source of this 103-nucleotide small nuclear RNA. The record is from RefSeq and is a predicted model, not a curated record. Lineage: Eukaryota; Metazoa; Chordata; Mammalia; Rodentia; Cricetidae.
UCUCUCUUCAGCAGAGCAUAUACCUAAGCUGAAAAGAUACAGGGACAUUGUAUGGCCCCUGUGAAAGGAUGACGGGCAAGUUCGGGAAACGUUCCACAUUAAC